GAUGAAGAACGUAGCGAAAUGCGAUAAGUAAUGUGAAUUGCAGAAUUCAGUGAAUCAUCGAAUCUUUGAACGCACAUUGCGCCCCUUGGUAUUCCGAGGGGCAUGCCUGUUCGAGCGUCAUUAUAACCCCUCAAGCUCAGCUUGGUGUUGGGGCCUGCUGCACUGGCAGCCCUUAAAAUCAGUGGCGGCGCCAUCUGGCUCUAAGCGUAGUAAUUCUUCUCGCUAUGGAGUCCUGGUGGAUGCUAGCCAUCAACCCCCAAUUUUUCUAUGGUUGACCUCGGAUCAGGUAGGGAUACCCGCUGAACUUAAGCAUAUCAAUAAGCGGAGGA
Molecule: unclassified non-coding RNA, 329 nt
Filed under: soil metagenome
Description: partial contains 5.8S ribosomal RNA, internal transcribed spacer 2, and large subunit ribosomal RNA
Rfam family: 5.8S ribosomal RNA (bases 1-120)
Source: RNAcentral